Non-coding RNA from Paramuricea clavata, 1726 nucleotides. NCBI's taxonomy places the organism in Eukaryota, Metazoa, Cnidaria, Anthozoa, Malacalcyonacea, Plexauridae. The record is from the annotation of a GenBank genome assembly.
CGACUGUCCGCGAGUAUACUCGCAUGUCCCGCGCGAUAACAAAAAAGCUAAAUAUAGUUUCCGACACUCUCCCCCCAUAUAGCUUCUUGAAGGUAUAUGUACUGAAAGGAAACUUAAUUAAUCUCAAUGUUACUAAUGUAAGGUCUACUAAAUGUUAUAUAUUAGAUAUAAACUUUAACGUCUCAAAAGGAUAUACUCUGUUCAAUUUCUUGUUCAAAUUUCAUCAUAGUUCGCUUGCUCUUGGAUGCGUAACCUUGCGGUGACCGCUGCCUCGCGGGUUGGUCGAAAUACUGCAGCUUCUGGAUUGAGGUUUUCACUACCGGUUGAUGGUCUUAUGUCACACGACAGUUCAAGUGGGUAGAGUAGAUUGACUGCUCUCUCAAAAUGACCGUUUCCCGUCUUUAUUUUCGCUGCUCGAAUGACCCCGUCUCUUCCUGGGUAAAGUUCCUGAACUAUUCCGAGCGGCCACUUUCCUCUAUUGCGCUCUUCAGAAUAAAUUAUGACGACAUCGCCCACAGCUAGGCUGAAUGGCUUCGUAUCAUGUUUUAAAUUAUGUCGUUCUCGUAAGGCUCGUAGGUACUCUUUCGUCCACCUGUUCCACAUGUGAUCUUUACAUUUCUUUAGGUAUUUCGCGCGUUUACGUAGGUCAGGAUCGGCUUCGUGGUAAUGUUCGGGUUCCGGAAGGUGGGUCGAUCCAACAAACUGCAAACUGUUCGGUGUCAAUGUUGGCAUUUGGAUAUCAUCUUCUUGGUACCCUAGAGGUCUGUUGUUCAAUGUUGUUUCAAUGUCUAGAAGGACAUCUUCGAGUUCUUUCUUGGCUAAGAAGCCAUUCCCAAUAGACUUGUACAACGCGGACUUGACCAAGCCGACCAUACGUUCGAAUUGGCCCCCCCACCAGGGGGCCCGACUUAGAUUGAACUGCCAUUUUAUUUUUUCGUUGGCCAGGAAAUGAUUGAAUUUUUCAUCUUGUUGUGCCUUCUUCAACCACUUGGCUGCCGCAACGAAGGUCUUUGCGUUGUCGGAAUAAAUCUUUUCCGGUCUGCCUUUCCUCGCGAUGAGUCGCUUGAGGGUAGGGAUAAAUUCAUCGGUUUCCAUGCUCGUGGUUAACUCUAGGUAGAGGGCUCGCGUUAGACUACAUGCGUAGAGGGUUAUAUACGCCUUUCCUUCCGUCUUUUUAGUGAUGCGGUACUUGAUGGGGCCGGCGAAAUCGACGCCUACGACCUGAAACGGACGAUCACCUUCUGUUCGGUCUACGGGCAAGUUUCCUGGAGGUGGUUUACUAACUGGCUUAGCAUGAAAUCGUCGACACCCGUGGCAUCCCUUUACGGUCUUCUUUACAAGUUGUCUUAGCCUUGGUACCCAAACGUUCUCUCUAAUCUUGGCCAUAGUGAGCCCGACUCCCCCGUGUAACGUGCGUUGAUGCGCAUCUUCUACGAGUUUAGUGGUGUAAAGAUGACUGUCCGGUAAAAAUACGGGGUAUUGACCUUGCAACCGACCUUUGCACACGAGCAUACCAUCUUCAUUCAUUUGUACACCCAGGCGUUGCUUAUCGUCGCUCACUUUGUCGUCUAGAAUUGCUUGGGCUUGUUUUACAUAAGCGCUGUGUUGGUCGUUUAUCUCUUGCGUUGUCAACGGUCCCGACCGUGUCUCUUUCUUAGUUGCUUUCGCUCGACAAUUAUACACAAAUCGAGAAAUCCAUGCGUUUACUCUUACAGCUUUGUUGAGG